RNAcentral lists this non-coding RNA (951 nucleotides) under Dasyscopelus asper (prickly lanternfish). RNAcentral's name for it is "Myctophum asperum (prickly lanternfish) 12S rRNA". It matches the Rfam family "Bacterial small subunit ribosomal RNA". Lineage: Eukaryota; Metazoa; Chordata; Actinopteri; Myctophiformes; Myctophidae. The record is from RNAcentral.
CAAAAGCCUGGUCCUGGCUUUACUGUCUGCCCUAACCAAGUUUAUACAUGCAAGUAUCCGCACCCCCGUGAGAAUGCCCUCAACAUCCUACCCGAAAGCGAGGAGCAGGUAUCAGGCACACUCAAAUGUAGCCCAAAACGCCUUGCUAGGCCACACCCCCAAGGGAACUCAGCAGUAAUAAAUAUUAGGCCAUAAGUGAAAACUUGACCUAACUACGGUUAACAGGGCCGGUAAAACUCGUGCCAGCCACCGCGGUCAUACGAGUGCGCCCAAGUGGACAGCCAACGGCGUAAAGUGUGGUUAGGGGCCCAACAAACAACUAAAGCAGAACCACCUCCCGGCCGUCAUACGCUUCUGACAGCGUGAAACCCUCCCACGAAAGUGGCUUUAACCUGCCCGAACCCACGAGAGCUAAGAAACAAACUGGGAUUAGAUACCCCACUAUGCCUAGCCGUAAACAUUGAUAGACUGACCACAACAUCUAUUCGCCCGGGAAUUACAAGCAUUAGCUUCAAACCCAAAGGACUUGGCGGCGCUUUAGACCCACCUAGAGGAGCCUGUCCUAGAACCGAUUUUCCCCGUUCAACCUCACCACUUCUUGCCCAAUCCGCCUAUAUACCACCGUCGUCAGCUUACCCUGUGAAGGUCCAACAGUAAGCUUAGCCGGCACCGCCCAAAACGUCAGGUCGAGGUGUAGCGCACGAAGUGAGCAAGAGAUGGGCUACAUUUUCUGACCCAGAAAAUUUACGAAAGAAGAAAUGAAAAAACUUCCGAAGGAGGAUUUAGCAGUAAUCAGGGAACAGAGCGCCCUGCUGAAACUGGCCCUUAAGCGCGUACAUACCGCCCGUCACUCUCCCCAAGUCUUCCUAUACUUACCCUAUAACAUAAUCUUGAUAAAGGGGAGGCAAGUCGUAACAUGGUAAGUGUACCGGAAGGUGCACUUGGAUAAAA